RNAcentral lists this ribosomal RNA (675 nucleotides) under uncultured Pseudomonadota bacterium. RNAcentral's name for it is "bacterial SSU rRNA". It matches the Rfam family "Bacterial small subunit ribosomal RNA", at positions 74 to 746 of the family's 1533-position model. Lineage: Bacteria; Pseudomonadati; Pseudomonadota. The record is from RNAcentral.
UUGCUGCUUUGCUGACGAGUGGCGGACGGGUGAGUAAUGUCUGGGAAACUGCCUGAUGGAGGGGGAUAACUACUGGAAACGGUAGCUAAUACCGCAUAACGUCGCAAGACCAAAGAGGGGGACCUUCGGGCCUCUUGCCAUCGGAUGUGCCCAGAUGGGAUUAGCUAGUAGGUGGGGUAACGGCUCACUUAGGCGACGAUCCCUAGCUGGUCUGAGAGGAUGACCAGCCACACUGGAACUGAGACACGGUCCAGACUCCUACGGGAGGCAGCAGUGGGGAAUAUUGCACAAUGGGCGCAAGCCUGAUGCAGCCAUGCCGCGUGUAUGAAGAAGGCCUUCGGGUUGUAAAGUACUUUCAGCGGGGAGGAAGGCGAUAAGGUUAAUAACCUUGUCGAUUGACGUUACCCGCAGAAGAAGCACCGGCUAACUCCGUGCCAGCAGCCGCGGUAAUACGGAGGGUGCAAGCGUUAAUCGGAAUUACUGGGCGUAAAGCGCACGCAGGCGGUCUGUCAAGUCGGAUGCGAAAUCCCCGGGCUCAACCUGGGAACUGCAUUCGAAACUGGCAGGCUAGAGUCUUGUAGAGGGGGGUAGAAUUCCCAGGUGUAGCGGUGAUAAUGCGUAGAGAUCUGGAGGAAUACCGGUGGCGAAGGCGGCCCCCUGGACAAAGACUGACGC